GGGGGGGGGGGUAUGCUGAAAAUGAAUAUGUUACUUUGAUAUUUUGGUAUGAUAGUUAUAUUCCCUUGUUUAUGUAAUCCCAGGUUAUGAAUGUGACUAGUCUUGCACGUGUUACGAACUGAAUGAUAUAGUCUUCCUUGAAUGUGCAAGAGAGUGUGUUAGUUAGUGAGGUCCCGGGUCCAGGAAGGUUGGACGGUCGCUUCCUGGACUGUUGUUUUGUGUAUUAUAUUUAUUGAAAGUUGAUGUCAUUAUGUGCUUAUUGAAUAUUAAAGAAUUAUUUGUAUUUCCCUGGACUAAAAAGUCUACUAAAAAGUUCACUAAUGCCCAAAUGAUAAACUCUGAAUGACGAGGUGAAAUCCUAAUUAACACGAGAGGCGUCAUAGACACCGAGGCUGAAACAAGUGAGGAUGCCAUAACAAGUGUUGCCUCUCUAUCGCUUGAAAAAAUAUGGGCUCAAGAGAGAGAGAGAGAGAGAGGGAGGGAGAGAAGGAAGGAGGAAUUUGACUCGCCUGUUUACUUAAAAUCAAGGCAGGUUUGCUACGUGGGACAAAUCCCGCAGGAUAACAGCCAGUCAACCACCAUUGACAAAGACAUUCACCAUCUGCAUAAUCAUCAAACACUGUCUGUGUGUGUGUGUCUAUGUGUGUGUACCUGAGAAGUUCAAACUCUCUCUUGCCCUGGACAAAACCCUGCCAGGUUGUGUUGUUGAGCGCAGCUGUGCGCCAAUAUUACCAUACAGGUCAAGAGCAUAUGGCUUCCCCGAUUAGGCUGGGGGCAAUAGAAAUGAAGGCACUACAAACAAAUUGAGUGAGCUGAUAUACAAAAUCUAUCAGGUAAGGGUAAUCAGUAAAGUUCAAUAUACACAUAAGCAUUUUACUAUCAAAUACACCACUUGAAAAAUAAGUGAAAGAUUGUAUGUUUCAUGGAAUGACAGGAAUGUACGAAAGUGAACAGAAUAAGUAUAUACAUACAGCUACUAAACAGAGCUGUGUUUUUCAAUACUUUCUGUGUGUGUGUGGUCAGUCAUUGAAGAUAUUAAAAUUUAAACAAGUUAGUAAUGUGGCACAACUUCUUAUGGUCACUGCCUCAAGUAGUCAUUACUUCUUAUUGUCACUACUUCUUGUGGUCAAUACUUCUUGUGGUCACUACUUCUU
Non-coding RNA from Biomphalaria pfeifferi, 1154 nucleotides. Lineage: Eukaryota; Metazoa; Mollusca; Gastropoda; Planorbidae. The record is from the annotation of a GenBank genome assembly.